AUGGCCCACACUAGAAGGACUGCCGGUGUUAAACCGGAGGAAGGAGGGGGCCACGGCAGGUCAGCAUGCCCCGAAACCUCCGGGCCGCACGCGGGUUACAAUGGCAGGGACAGCGGGAUCCGACCCCGAAAGGGGAAGGCAAUCCCACAAACCCUGCCUCAGUUGGGAUCGAGGGCUGAAACUCGCCCUCGUGAACGAGGAAUCCCUAGUAACCGCGGGUCAACAACCCGCGGUGAAUACGUCCCUGCUC
RNAcentral lists this ribosomal RNA (250 nucleotides) under uncultured Metallosphaera sp. RNAcentral describes it as "partial 16S ribosomal RNA". It matches the Rfam family "Archaeal small subunit ribosomal RNA", at positions 1086 to 1335 of the family's 1478-position model. Lineage: Archaea; Thermoproteati; Thermoproteota; Thermoprotei; Sulfolobales; Sulfolobaceae. The record is from RNAcentral.